RNAcentral lists this ribosomal RNA (253 nucleotides) under uncultured bacterium. Its description in RNAcentral is "partial 16S ribosomal RNA". It matches the Rfam family "Bacterial small subunit ribosomal RNA", at positions 524 to 776 of the family's 1533-position model. The record is from RNAcentral.
UACGGAGGGCGCAAGCGUUGUUCGGAAUCACUGGGCGUAAAGCGCACGUAGGCGGAUUUGUAAGUCAGGGGUGAAAUCCCGGGGCUCAACCUCGGAACUGCCUUUGAUACUGCAAAUCUCGAGUCCGGAAGAGGUGAGUGGAAUUCCUAGUGUAGAGGUGAAAUUCGUAGAUAUUAGGAAGAACACCAGUGGCGAAGGCGGCUCACUGGUCCGGUACUGACGCUGAGGUGCGAAAGCGUGGGGAGCAAACAGG